CUGGCGGCAGAUCCGGACCCCUUCCCCAUCUUGCUCCUCCUGUCGGCGUCCUCAGGAGUCGCCAGGGUUGGGUGGAGCCCGCCCUCCCUAUCCCACACCUCAAUGCAUACUUCCCGGUCGAGUCCACCUCGACUGUGAAAUAUAGUAUCUACUCGGACAGGCGAUAUAUUCACAUGCCUCAGGUUACAAAGGACAUCCGCAAACUGAGGAUUGCACUUUGCCUUGUUUCCCACCAUACCCGCAGUUCCUAGAACAAGACCUAGCAUACGCUCUCAAUGUCUGGUGCCUAUGAAGGAGAGGGAAGUGUGUACCUGCAGAAGGGAUGAAUCUUCCAGAGGGCAACAGGAGCCUAGCCCCAUGGAGUGUGUUAGGGAUGAGGAGACUGAGUCUCAAAGAGGCCAAGAACCUUGCUGAAGAUCACACAGUUGGUGAGUUGUGGAGAACCAGGAUUCAAACAACCUCUGAGGGGCACUAGAGGCCAUGUGCUAACCCCACCCAA
This is a long non-coding RNA of Mesoplodon densirostris (Blainville's beaked whale), 499 nucleotides long. RefSeq lists it as uncharacterized. The record is from RefSeq and is a predicted model, not a curated record. Lineage: Eukaryota; Metazoa; Chordata; Mammalia; Artiodactyla; Ziphiidae. The transcript has 4 exons.